Molecule: ribosomal RNA, 467 nt
Filed under: Ophiocordyceps melolonthae
Lineage: Eukaryota; Fungi; Ascomycota; Sordariomycetes; Hypocreales; Ophiocordycipitaceae
Description: eukaryotic LSU rRNA
Rfam family: 5.8S ribosomal RNA (bases 83-236)
Source: RNAcentral
AACCGCGGCGCCCGCCGGAGGACCCCACGACUCUCUUCCGCCCCAGCGGCAUCUUCCGGGUGAGCCAUCACGAAUGAGUCAAAACUUUCAACAACGGAUCUCUUGGUUCUGGCAUCGAUGAAGAACGCAGCGAAAUGCGAUAAGUAAUGUGAAUUGCAGAAUUCAGUGAAUCAUCGAAUCUUUGAACGCACAUUGCGCCCGCCAGCACUCUGGCGGGCAUGCCUGUCCGAGCGUCAUUUCAGCCCUCGAGCCCCCCCCGGGGCUCGGCGUUGGGGCCCGGCCCGCCGCGGCCGCCCCCCAAAUCCAGUGGCGACCCCGCCGCGGCCUCCCCUGCGCAGUAGCACACGCCUCGCACCGGAGCCCCGGCGGCGGUCCUCGCCGUGAAACGCGACCAGCCUCCCAGGAGAGUUGACCUCGGAUCAGGUAGGGGUACCCGCUGAACUUAAGCAUAUCAAUAAGCGGAGGAA